AACCCUUUUAUGAAAUACCCCAGCUCCACUAUAAGUUACUCUGCUUCUCAUUCCUUAUUCCCCAGCCCUAACUUCGAAAACAUUGAACGAAGGAACCCCUCCCCAAUAGAAGCUCGCAGAACCCACGCUCCCAACGAGGGAUCCUCAGCUUGCGCUGGACCUGGGUCUCCAGCCACUCCCGGUCGCUCAGGUCUCUCCACCAGUCUUCACAGCUUCCGAUUGAGAUCAAGGCGCCCUUUAUCUUCUAAGAUGGCGAGAAAAGGUCGUUUCACGAAAAAAUCGAAAGUAGGACAAGGAUGUCAGCAACCACAAAUGGCUCCGUCUCCGGCCUCUGCUACCCACCGUGAUGACUCUGAAAUACUCCCGGACAGUGGUGAUAGUGUCCCUCCAACUUCACGUCCGUUCCUUCCGCCGCGCAAUGUACCAAGGCCUGCUCCACAAACGAGCACAACUACCAUUCAGAACUCGGAGCCAAGCCGUGUAAACUCUACGGAUAAUGCUAAUGAUGUAGAUUCUGUUGAUCAAGAAGCUGAUGACUCGUUUGUUGAUUCUAGAGCUCAGAAUCACAAAGGACGCAAGACAACAGAGUUUUGGAAAGUCAGGAUAAUCAGUAAUUUAGCUAUUAAAUUUUAUGUGUUCAAUCCAAUUUACACUCUUGGUGAUUAUUCUUAUUCUCCCAUGCUGUCCACUACGGAUACACAUAUGGUAUUGUGUUUGGCUUUUAGAUUUUGAUAGCACAAUCAAGCCGGCAAGACUAAGCAUCAGGGAGGCUAUGGAACGGCCUAACGGUAGAAAGAUCGUGCUCAGGUUCAACAAGGCAAAGCAAGCAAUUGGAAAUGAGGCUGGACUGUUGAGUGGCGUGCUUGGUCUGUUAGGAUCUGAUUUUGGGAAAUUUUCUAUCUGCGAGGAAAGUUGGCGCAAGAUUACCACCAAGGACAAAGUUUAUAAUGAAUGUGUCAAGCAUAUUUUCCACAUUGAUGAAGAUAGCGAAGGAACCAUCAAAAAAAUAUUUUGAAAGCUAUGGGAAAGUCCUGGAAGGAGACAAGGCUGAGGUUGUAUAAUGCUUAUUUCGAGCCAAUGUUCACGACUGAACAAAAUAUUGAGAACCAUCCACCGGGAAUAGAUCGAGAGCAUUGGAGAUGGUUCCUUGACUAUCGCGCCAAACCCGAGACGAAGGAGAAGUGCAAGAAAAAUGCGAAGAAUCGAUCAAAACAACAGUAUACCCACACUGGCGGUUCGAAGAGCUUUGCACGGCGUUUGGAAGAAGAGGUACUUUACUUUUUUUGUUCACUCUUCGGACUAUUUCUGUGACUUAAGGUUGCCUUGAUUGUGUGAAAAACGGUAAUGGCAUAAAAUUUGUUGAUACAGUCGGAAGAACAAGGGAGAAUAGUUGGUAGAGGAGAGUUAUGGAUAAAUGUGCACAAAAAAAAAGGACGGCUCCUAUAUGAAUGAUGAAGCAAGAGCAAUCGGUGAAAGAAUUGAGGAGAUUGAGCAGCAGGAUAAGUCAUCAAGGGUGUUGUCUCAAAAUGAUUCCAUUGCUCAGGUUUUCGGAAAAGAGAAACCGGGUAGAGUACGUGGUGUGGGUUUUGGACCGACUCCUAGUCAACUCUUCGGUCCAAAUUCACAUGGGUCUGGCAACGAAGUCCAACUAGAGGAGAGUCAGAGGAAGCUGCUUGAACUGCAGGCAGAGCUUGAAGACGAGAAGUUGAAGAGGAAGGCGAUGGAGGAUGAGGCAGCAGCAGAGAAGAAAAAGAUGAAGGUGAUGGAGAGUGCUCUGAUUUAUCUGUUUCAAUGCCAGGGUGAGGAGCUGCCACCAGACAUCGCUGCAGAAAUGGGUUUCGUGGAAUGAUAGAGUGAAUAGUAGAAUAUUAGGAGUGGAGAUAUUUUGCUAUGAAUCAAGCAUUUUAUUGAAUUAGACUGAGCAACUCUUUGAAAGAGAUUUCUUUUUGUUCGUAUUUUUUAUGGAUAUAUAUUUCCUAUUUUGCUUAUAUAUCAA
Arachis ipaensis is the source of this 1996-nucleotide non-coding RNA. Lineage: Eukaryota; Viridiplantae; Streptophyta; Magnoliopsida; Fabales; Fabaceae. The record is from RefSeq and is a predicted model, not a curated record.